RNAcentral lists this ribosomal RNA (253 nucleotides) under uncultured bacterium. RNAcentral's name for it is "partial 16S ribosomal RNA". It matches the Rfam family "Bacterial small subunit ribosomal RNA", at positions 524 to 776 of the family's 1533-position model. The record is from RNAcentral.
UACGUAGGGGGCAAGCGUUGUCCGGAUUUAUUGGGCGUAAAGAGCGUGUAGGCGGCCAGACAGGUCCGUUGUGAAAACUCGAGGCUCAACCUCGAGACGCCGAUGGAAACCGUCUGGCUAGAGUCCGGAAGAGGAGAGUGGAAUUCCUGGUGUAGCGGUGAAAUGCGCAGAUAUCAGGAAGAACACCCGUGGCUAAGGCGGCUCUCUAGUACGGUACUGACGCUGAGAAGCGAAAGCGUGGGGAGCGAACAGG